RNAcentral lists this small RNA (150 nucleotides) under Chrysemys picta bellii (western painted turtle). RNAcentral describes it as "TUC338 (ENSCPBG00000004479.1)". Lineage: Eukaryota; Metazoa; Chordata; Testudines; Emydidae. The record is from RNAcentral.
AUGUCAGGGUUGGAGAAUGGAGUCUGUUCGGUGCAGUAUGGGAAGCUGCCAGGCAAGCUUCCUUCAUACUGUGCCUUGCCAGUAUGUUGUUGCAGGACCCCUUGUCAGAGGAAAGUUCAGUCUCCAUGGCCCCUUCAGCUCUUGGCCUCU